Small nuclear RNA from Peromyscus leucopus (white-footed mouse), 104 nucleotides. NCBI's taxonomy places the organism in Eukaryota, Metazoa, Chordata, Mammalia, Rodentia, Cricetidae. The record is from RefSeq and is a predicted model, not a curated record.
GUGCUCGCUUUGGCAGCACACAGACUAAAAUCGGAAGGAUACAGAGAAGGUUAGCAUGGCCCCCGCACAAGGAUGACACGCAAAUUCGGGAAGUGUUCCAUUUU